This 578-nucleotide long non-coding RNA is filed under the name Phoenix dactylifera (date palm). Its description in RNAcentral is "long non-coding RNA (PDAC_LNC021365)". The record is from RNAcentral. Lineage: Eukaryota; Viridiplantae; Streptophyta; Magnoliopsida; Arecales; Arecaceae.
UAUACACGUUGCUUAAAUCAAUUUUAUUGCUAACAAAUAAUGAUAAAAAGGCUGCAUUAAUUUUAUAUUUUAUUUGGCAUCGUAAAUCAGAGUUUAAAUAUGCAUUUGGUUGACUUCAAGCCUGAUUACACUGGAAUAGAAUUGAACCUGGUCGAGCACACUUGCAUCCGAGGGACACAUGGCAGCACAAGAUGGAUCCACUAAGGGUCUAAUUUCAUUAUCCGGGAGGAUCCAAAAGCCCGCAACGGAUCUGUGAUUUGAUCUCCCGCAACCCCUCAUCCAGAUCCCGCGAUCAAAGCCCUCAUCUUCCGCCCGUUUAAGGCGCUUCCCAGCUUCCUCCUUCCGCUUGCGCCCGAGUCCGAGCGUCCCAGUCAUCCCGUCCGCUCAAUCCGCCUCCUCCAGCGAUGCAACAUUUCCAUCUCCAGCUCCCGGAUCAAGCAACGUCACCUCCCAGUGCGGCAUCUCCUCCGGUUUAUCUCACAUCCGAGCCCAACGUCCGCUUCCGCCCGUACCAAGCUCUCAGCAUCCCGUUCUUCCGCUUCAUCUCCCAGCCAAUUAACAGCCGGAACUCGCGUCCG